Molecule: ribosomal RNA, 253 nt
Filed under: uncultured microorganism
Description: partial 16S ribosomal RNA
Rfam family: Bacterial small subunit ribosomal RNA
Source: RNAcentral
UACGGAGGGGGCAAGCGUUGUUCGGAGUUACUGGGCGUAAAGCGCGCGUAGGCGGUGCGGUAAGUCAGGGGUUAAAGGCUGCAGCUCAACUGCAGUAAGGCCUUUGAUACUAUCGCGCUAGAGUACCAGAGAGGAUGGCGGAAUUCCCGGUGUAGCGGUGAAAUGCGUAGAGAUCAGGAGGAACACCGAUGGCGAAGGCAGCCCCCUGGGCCUGUACUGACGCUCAUGUGCGAAAGCUGGGGUAGCGAACCGG